AUCAUUAUUGAAAAGGUAAAAUAGCCGCAAGGCUUAAGAGGAGGGGUGAGAAAAAGUUGUAUAAAAGGCGACUGAAAAGUCGACAGGGAUCAGUCGAGCGAGUAUCUCCGACACGGUAACAGCCGUAGUGUACUAUUUGCCAUCAGCUGGAUUCUUCAUCGUAUUAUCAGUUCUCAAUCAUGGUCGUACAUAAGGGCAAGGAAAAAGGGAAAGAAAUCGGUCGAGUGAGCAUCUCCGGCACGGUAACAGCAACUGCAGCGCACCAUUUGUCACCAACUGCAUUCUUCGUCGAAUUGCUGGUUUAAAUCAUGGCAAACUAUGGCGUCGUGCUGCAGUUGUGUCUUGCAACUCCGCCAACACCUUACUACACAACAUACGGCACGACCAGUUGCUACACCGAGGCCCCCAAGUACUUCACCAAGGCUCCAGAUUAUUAUGCCCCAACUGAUGCUGCCCUGAGCUACUACACUGAAUCCCCACAGUAUUAUUAUUCCCCGAGCUACACUACCAAAGGAUCGAUUAUUACACCGAUGCUCCGAAGUACUACACUACAUAUAAUGAGAAAAUCUGAAAGAAUUCAGCAGCCGAGUGAGCAUCUCCAUUGCAGCAACAGGAACUGCCGUGCAUAAUUUGUCAUCAACUUAAUUCUUCGUCGCAUUAAAAGUUUUAAAUAAAGUAAACUAUGGCGUAGUGCUGCUGUUGGGUGUUAUAUGGUUGAUGGCUGGGACGACCACUGGUGUGCCGAUGUCUCCUUGGUAUGGCGGGUACCAAAGCACUGCCGUGCAGUCUUGCUAUUUAGCAUAAACUUCCGCUGCUCCAGCUUACUACACUGAGGCUCCCAAGUGCUACACCAUCAAGGUUCCAGAGUAUUACACCACAACUUGUGCUGCCCUGAUGUUACUACGCAGAAGCUCCGAAGUAUGUUUUCCCCGAGCUUCACUACCUUCACCACGUCGCUUACUAAACAACAACGUCAAACCCUUCUUACUAUAUGGAGGUCUCCAGUACUACGCCACAAAGGCUUCCGAGUACUACAACGAGGAUCUAACUUGUCACACCACUGAAGCGCCUUGCACUACAACCUACGUUGCUCCAGCUUACACCACGAAGGCAGCGGAGUGCUACACCAUUACUUACGUUACUACCACUUACUACACCGAAGCCCCGAA
This 1169-nucleotide long non-coding RNA is filed under the name Daphnia pulicaria. Its description in RNAcentral is "uncharacterized LOC124327373, transcript variant X3". Lineage: Eukaryota; Metazoa; Arthropoda; Branchiopoda; Diplostraca; Daphniidae. The record is from RNAcentral.